AGAGUUUGAUCAUGGCUCAGAUUGAACGCUGGCGGCAGGCCUAACACAUGCAAGUCGAACGGUAACAGGAAGCAGCUUGCUGCUUUGCUGACGAGUGGCGGACGGGUGAGUAAUGUCUGGGAAACUGCCUGAUGGAGGGGGAUAACUACUGGAAACGGUAGCUAAUACCGCAUAAUGUCGCAAGACCAAAGAGGGGGACCUUCGGGCCUCUUGCCAUCGGAUGUGCCCAGAUGGGAUUAGCUGGUAGGUGGGGUAAAGGCUCACCUAGGCGACGAUCCCUAGCUGGUCUGAGAGGAUGACCAGCCACACUGGAACUGAGACACGGUCCAGACUCCUACGGGAGGCAGCAGUGGGGAAUAUUGCACAAUGGGCGCAAGCCUGAUGCAGCCAUGCCGCGUGUAUGAAGAAGGCCUUCGGGUUGUAAAGUACUUUCAGCGGGGAGGAAGGGAGUAAAGUUAAUACCUUUGCUCAUUGACGUUACCCGCAGAAGAAGCACCGGCUAACUCCGUGCCAGCAGCCGCGGUAAUACGGAGGGUGCAAGCGUUAAUCGGAAUUACUGGGCGUAAAGCGCACGCAGGCGGUUUGUUAAGUCAGAUGUGAAAUCCCCGGGCUCAACCUGGGAACUGCAUCUGAUACUGGCAAGCUUGAGUCUCGUAGAGGGGGGUAGAAUUCCAGGUGUAGCGGUGAAAUGCGUAGAGAUCUGGAGGAAUACCGGUGGCGAAGGCGGCCCCCUGGACGAAGACUGACGCUCAGGUGCGAAAGCGUGGGGAGCAAACAGGAUUAGAUACCCUGGUAGUCCACGCCGUAAACGAUGUCGACUUGGAGGUUGUGCCCUUGAGGCGUGGCUUCCGGAGCUAACGCGUUAAGUCGACCGCCUGGGGAGUACGGCCGCAAGGUUAAAACUCAAAUGAAUUGACGGGGGCCCGCACAAGCGGUGGAGCAUGUGGUUUAAUUCGAUGCAACGCGAAGAACCUUACCUGGUCUUGACAUCCACGGAAGUUUUCAGAGAUGAGAAUGUGCCUUCGGGAACCGUGAGACAGGUGCUGCAUGGCUGUCGUCAGCUCGUGUUGUGAAAUGUUGGGUUAAGUCCCGCAACGAGCGCAACCCUUAUCCUUUGUUGCCAGCGGUCCGGCCGGGAACUCAAAGGAGACUGCCAGUGAUAAACUGGAGGAAGGUGGGGAUGACGUCAAGUCAUCAUGGCCCUUACGACCAGGGCUACACACGUGCUACAAUGGCGCAUACAAAGAGAAGCGACCUCGCGAGAGCAAGCGGACCUCAUAAAGUGCGUCGUAGUCCGGAUUGGAGUCUGCAACUCGACUCCAUGAAGUCGGAAUCGCUAGUAAUCGUGGAUCAGAAUGCCACGGUGAAUACGUUCCCGGGCCUUGUACACACCGCCCGUCACACCAUGGGAGUGGGUUGCAAAAGAAGUAGGUAGCUUAACCUUCGGGAGGGCGCUUACCACUUUGUGAUUCAUGACUGGGGUGAAGUCGUAACAAGGUAACCGUAGGGGAACCUGCGGUUGGAUCACCU
Molecule: ribosomal RNA, 1530 nt
Filed under: Escherichia coli HVH 158 (4-3224287)
Lineage: Bacteria; Pseudomonadati; Pseudomonadota; Gammaproteobacteria; Enterobacterales; Enterobacteriaceae
Also listed under: 2 other names
Description: bacterial SSU rRNA
Rfam family: Bacterial small subunit ribosomal RNA
Source: RNAcentral